AAAAGCUUUCUUUAAUUAAAUAAUUGAAUUUAAUUUUUUAGUGCAAAAGCAAAAAUAAAAAUUAGGGACAAGAAGACCCUAUGAAUUUUUUAUUAAAUUUUAUAUAAAGUUUUAUAAAAUUUAAUUUAAUUGGGGUGAUGGAAAAAGAAUAAAUAUCUUUUUUUUUAAAGAAAAUUGGUUCCGUUUUUAGCGAUUAAAUGAAAAAAAUACUCUAGGGAUAACAGCGUAAUAAUUUUGGAUAGUUCAUAUAGAUAAAAUAGUUUGCGACCUCGAUGUUGGAUUAGGAUUCUUUUUUGGUGAAGAAGUUAAAAAAAGAAGUUUGUUCAACUUAUAAUUUCCUACUUGAUCUGAGUUCAGACCGG
Molecule: ribosomal RNA, 362 nt
Filed under: Ixodes ricinus (castor bean tick)
Lineage: Eukaryota; Metazoa; Arthropoda; Arachnida; Ixodida; Ixodidae
Also listed under: 1 other name
Description: partial 16S ribosomal RNA
Rfam family: Bacterial large subunit ribosomal RNA (bases 217-362)
Source: RNAcentral